GGGGGUGGCUUAGAGCCCCCGCUUGCGGAAGUGUUAAUAGUAGUGUUUUUGGCCGGACAUUACGGUUAGUGAAUC
This 75-nucleotide non-coding RNA is filed under the name unclassified sequences. RNAcentral's name for it is "L13-Bacteroidia ribosomal protein leader". It matches the Rfam family "L13-Bacteroidia ribosomal protein leader". The record is from RNAcentral.